Branchiostoma floridae (Florida lancelet) is the source of this 3696-nucleotide RNA transcript. RefSeq lists it as uncharacterized. The transcript has 2 exons. The record is from RefSeq and is a predicted model, not a curated record. NCBI's taxonomy places the organism in Eukaryota, Metazoa, Chordata, Leptocardii, Amphioxiformes, Branchiostomatidae.
GUCUUAUCGUUAACAAGGCACUUGAACUUAUCCAGCUGUAGCUGGCUUUUGGGGAAUGAUAUCCUUCAGAAGGUAGAGGACAUUGAGAAAGCUGGUAAAACAGCAGACAAAGUGGGUAAGACACCCAAGCCGUCUAAGCGACAGAGCUGGUACAGCAGUCCUUUGGCCGCAGUAGACACUGCCCUACCAAAGAUGGUUUUUGGCCUUGGACGCGGGAUGAACUCCCGGGGCCAGUCCUUUCGUGACCGCCAGCACUCAAGGGGCAGGUCGGGAAGGUCUAAGGGCCGUGGACGGCAGGCAAAAAAGUAGUUGCCUUUUCUCCUCCUCUCGAGCCGGGGUCGCCCCCUGUGAUGGGCACCUCACUUCCCCCAGUGGCAGGCAGAAUUCAGAACUUUUUUCCUCAAUGGAAAACCAUCUGCUCAGACCCUUGGGUUCUGGGCGUUGUCAGCAGGGGACUGAGGUUCCAUCUCACAGGGCGACCCCGCCAACUCGUCCCUCCAGAGGAGGUGACGGGCCCAGAAGAAGAUCUUCUGGCAGCAGAAGUGUUAUCUCUUCAGCAGAAGGGAGCUAUUGUAGAGGUCCCACCGUUAGAGGACCAGUUUUUGUCCCGUUUGUUUCUGGUUCCAAAGAAGGACGCAAGUUGGCGUCCGGUUAUAAAUCUCCGUCCUCUGAAUCAAUAUAUAGUAUCAGAGCAUUUCAAGAUGGAGGGGAUGAAGGAAGUAAAGUCCCUCCUACGUCAGAAUGAUUGGAUGGUAACCUUGGAUAUCAAGGAUGCCUACUUCCAUUUGCCACUACACCAAUCAGUCAAGAAACUCCUUCGGUUUCGUUUCAGAAACCGAAUUUGGGAGUUCCAAGCAUGCCCGUUUGGGCUCAAUGUCGCCCCAAGGGCGUUUACGAAGGUGUUAAAACCAGUAGUUGCAGUUAUCCGAUCCAAGGGAAUUCGGAUAGUGAUUUACCUGGACGACAUGUUGAUCCUAGGCUCGUCUCGGGCACAAUGUCUCCAGCACCUGCAAUUUGUAAUAGAUCUUCUGACACAUUUGGGGUUCCUAAUCAAUUGGGAAAAGUCUCAAUUGAUCCCAACCCAGCGAUUAACAUUCCUGGGGAUAGACGUGAACUCCCUUCUCAUGACUCUGUCUCUCCCGCAGGAGAAGAUAGUGAAGAUAUCCAGGGCUUGUACCUCCUUGCUGAGGUCGCCUCACGUCACACUUCGGCAGAUUGCCGAAGUGGUGGGUCGCUUGAACGCCGUGGCAGUAGCGGUUUUGCCUGCUCCUCUCUAUUACAGGAGUUUGCAGAGUUGUCUAAACGAGGCUCUGACUCAAAAUUGCCCGUGGGACAGCAAAGCGAUGUUGUCCCCAGCAGCUCGCUCGGAACUAGUUGCGUGGGCAACUUGCUUACCGCAGUGGAAUGGACGAGCCAUUCUUCCAAGUCCCAUAGCUCUGUUAAUAACAACAGACGCAUCGCUCCAAGGCUGGGGAGCGGUUUGCGAGGGACGCAGGACUGGUGGCCGUUGGUCUCCUCAAGAGAGGAAGAGCCACAUCAACGAGCUGGAGCUCAAGGCGGCAUUUUUUGGCCUAAAGUGUUUUGCCAGCAAUCUGCAGAGAAACAGCCAUGUCCGCCUAAGGCUGGACAAUACGGCAGCAGUGGCAUACAUAAACAGGCAAGGGGGCUGUCAUUCACAGCCCCUCUGCCAGAUGGCUAUAGCUGUGUGGAAGUGGGCCUUAGGCAAGGGUCUGACGUUAUCAGCAGAACACUUGCCGGGCCAGGACAAUGCAGAGGCCGACAGGGCGUCCAGACACCUCCAAGACCACACAGAGUGGACUCUACAGCCACUCCUCUUCCAACAAGCAUGUCAGACGCUUCAGUUCCACCCAGAGGUCGAUCUGUCCAGGAUAAACCGACAACUGCCUCGGUAUUGUGCUUGGCACCCAGACCCAGAGGCGUGGAAAAUAGACGCCUUCAGUUGCAGUUGGAGCGAACUGAAAGGGUACGCGUUUCCACCUGUCUGUCUCCUCACUAGAGCAGGCGGAAGUGUUGGUGGUAGCACCAUUCUGGCCCUCUCAGCCGUGGUUCCCACUGCUGCGGGAACUACCGGUGGGAGAACCGCUGUUCCUUCCCACAGGACCAGACGUGCUACAUCUUCCAGGGCUAGAGGAAGUUCAUCCUCUGUGGCGGAUACUGAGACUAGCCGCCUGGAUAGUGUCAGGCAAGCACUAAUUUCUGCAGGGUUGUCAUACGACGCAGCGGCUAUUUCAUGUGCCGCUCAGCGGAAAAGUACUCAGAAACAGAAUCAAGCAGUCUGGAAAUGUUUUUCAAACUGGUGCAAGACUAAGGCGUUGGAUCCGUUUAAGGCAACGGUUCCAGAGGUCAUAGAGUAUCUUAAGUGCCUUUACCAAGAGGGUCUCUCUUAUAAAACUAUAAAUGUUCAUCGCUCUGCGAUUUCAUCUACCCGUCUGACCUCAGAUGGAUGUCAGAUAGGGCAACACUGGACGGUCAAUAAUUUUAUGCGAGGAGUGUUUAAUAUGCGCCCUCCAAGACCAAGGUACCUAGUUACCUGGGACGUGGGUACGGUUCUGAAGUUUCUUCAGACAUGGGAACCCUUAGAGUCCCUGAGUUCGAAACAGCUCACUCAGAAAACCCUGUCUUUGAUGGCCUUGGCAUCGGCAGAUAGAUGCGCGACAUUAGCAUCUUUAUCUCCAGAUCUGAUGAGCAUUUCAAACGCCAAAGUUGUCUUUGUUCCUGUGGAACUGACUGAAUCGGACAGGCCGGCUCGGCCCUAUAGAGAGAUUACAUUUCAAUCUUACCCGGGUCAUAGUGAGAUCUGUGUGGUAAGACAUAUCAGAGAGUACUUAAGGAGAACUCUGUCUCCUAACAGGCCUAACAAGUUUUUCUUGUCCUAUAAGACACAGAAACCAGUGGUGUCUGCCACUUUGGCCAGAUGGCUGGAAGAUGUUAUGCAUCUUUCGGGUAUUGACACUAGUGUUUUCAAAGCACAUUCUCACCGCGGCGCUGCUGCGUCUGCGGCAGUGAGAAGAGGCUUGUCAUUGAAGGAUUUGUUAAAGCUGGCGGACUGGGCCUCAGCCAGGACUUUCCAAACCUUCUAUUUUCGACCAGAGGUCGAGUCUGAUUUAGGCAGAGCUCUUUUGUCUCAGUUAUGAUUGGCGAGACUGUGUCCUUCGGCCAUACAGUCUGUUAGCUCUGUCCUUUCAUCCGGCACUUACAGCUGUGAAAUUUGGGGAGGAGGCAGCAGGAGCAUCCUUCAACUUCAGCUGGACGACAUUGGAGGGAGACACGACUCCAAGGGGUCCAGUCACCUUUCCACACAGAACUAGGUGUUCACUUUAGUUUACAUGGCCAGUGCACAGAUUGGAGUCUCUAACUCUGUAACUCUCCAAGGUGCUCAGAGGUUAGUUGACUUCCAAGACCGACUGCUGCAAGCUGAGGAAGCAUUGACCCGGGACCAGGUAUUUCGUAUCAGGCGUCUGUGCCGAGACUUUACAGACCCACUGACAGAAGAACAGCUUCAGACAUUAUCUCCAGCUGGCAUCGCCAAACUGUUGUUUAAGGAACUCCAAAAGAAGAACCUGAUAGGUCCCUACAACACAGUGCUGUUGGGAGACGUGCUGACUAAGGUUGGGCGUGCCGACCUUGCUGCAUGCUUCUAUCCCUGCUAUUGAACAGUUCCACAUCAUCAUCAUU